UCCUUUACAUUAUUAAUAUUACGUUCAUUAAUUCGAUAAAUGUGUAUAUGUUAUUGUACAACUUCCUAAAUUAGUGAAAAACUGAUUAAAAAUACAACUUCAUUUUUUUUAAUAGUAGGUUGCCGUCUUGUGAGUCUGACAUCUGUCACUGUCAGAACAGUUAAUAAUUAUUAAAAAUGUAGUAAGUCAUAACCACAAAACCAAAACCAUUAAUCGCGAUAUCACCAAAUCUCUUAGUAUUUAUGAUAAUCCUAAAAGAGCAUAAUUGUUGGAAGAACAGGAAGUUGUACGUUCAUUUUAAAUUAUAAGUAUCAGAUGAAACCACUUAAAAUUUUUUUAUGUAUGAUUGUAUGGUCCGAAGUUCAUUUCAAUGCACGAAACUGAGAAGGGUAGAAAACCGUGGUCGAAGAAACUGAAAAAAGAGCGUUAUGAAGCCAGAGACCCUUCUAUUAUCGGUACCGGCCACGUCUUCACAUUUCUCCUGUUAAUUUCAACAUUUGUAAUUUAUGAUGUGAUUGUGAUAACUAACCUACAGGACGAAACAAGUACUGAUUUCCAGGCACUUAAGUCUGAGUUGGAGAUGAGUGUUCAUUGUCAACCUGAACCAGUAGCUGUUAUUCUUGAGAACUUAAAUAAAAUCCAGAAGAAUGAACAAACUAUUGGCAUUGUUAACUUUAUCGGAAGUACAGGUGUUGGAAAAACAUUUAUUGCAAAUAUUAUCAAAAGACACUUUUCACUGUUUUAUGAAUCCACUGGCUCUCUUAAAACGAAACUUCAGCAUGACAUUUGGAGUACAAUUAGAGGGAGUCUUGCUAGGUACAAUUUAGUAGUUUUUGAUGAUUUGACAGUGGAUGAUGUUGAUGAUUUACUGGUUUUAAUUAAAGGAAUGCCUCAAGACGUUGCCACACUUGUUAUUUGUAUUUUUAAUAUUCAAGAGACUGAUAGUUUUUUAAAUUAUAACGUUAAUUAUGAUAAUAUUGAUCUAAUUGAAAGUAAAUUUAAUUCAGCUGAAAUUAAGCAUGAUGUGGCUAAAUUCCAUGAGUUCAGUGCAGGUGAAGUUCAUGAUUGGAUUGUUAAUCAGUUGAUAACAAAAGGAGUCGAUGCACAGUACCACACAAGAAUUAUAGAAUCUGUAUUUGGGGGCCACAAUGUGAAAUACCAUGGUUUGAAAGGUUUAAAUUCAAAAAUAAAUUUGGAACUGUGAUAAAUAACGAAUUUAAAUAAAUUAAUGAAGUUGUA
Molecule: long non-coding RNA, 1239 nt
Organism: Zophobas morio
Lineage: Eukaryota; Metazoa; Arthropoda; Insecta; Coleoptera; Tenebrionidae
Exons: 2
Source: RefSeq, a predicted model, not a curated record